RNAcentral lists this non-coding RNA (219 nucleotides) under unclassified sequences. RNAcentral's name for it is "RT-2 RNA". It matches the Rfam family "RT-2 RNA". Rfam says of the family: Coriobacteriales (Actinobacteria), Clostridiales (Firmicutes). Downstream gene The record is from Rfam by way of RNAcentral.
UCUUUUCAGGCCUAGUAACCAAUGGUGAAAGCAGUAGAAUAGGAUAGAAGGAGAAUAUGACCUUCCGGAAAGGUAAAUAUAUGCACUGAUGCGUUUGGGCGGACGCUUCUUGCAUGGUGCAGGUUAAAGGUUAUCCUGCAUUUCAUGCCCAGUAACGCUAUGCUGCUAUUAAGAAAACCUGUACUGCAGUACGGUGCAUUUUUUGUUGUAAUGAACAGU